Long non-coding RNA from Macaca fascicularis (crab-eating macaque), 2121 nucleotides. Lineage: Eukaryota; Metazoa; Chordata; Mammalia; Primates; Cercopithecidae. The record is from Ensembl.
AUCUCUAAUACAUAAGUGACAGCAGCCUGUGACAGGAACCUGUGAAAUUCGUGGCGCUAAGCUGUGAGUCAUUUGGCCCAGGACCUGAUGGGUAGAGAGGGCCCAGUAAACAGUGGCUAUUAGGUAUUGGGAAGUAUUAGAAAGAGAAGGGGAAAAAAACAGUAAUCGUUAUAGGAGCAGGUACUAUGAGCCACACAAUAUUCUCUGCCCUUGAUGGGGCUGACCUUCUAGUAGGAGACAGAUGGACCAUAAAUUAAUACCCCAAAUAUACAUGUCAAAUGGUGAGAGCGCUGAAAAGAAAGCACAGCAGGGUAAGGGGACAGGGAGUGGCCCGUUGAGAGUUGCUAUUUCCCUGGGUACGGAGGGUGACGCUGACAGAGUAAGUCAGGUACAUGCUUAGAGGAAGAGCACCCAGGCACCAGGAGCAGUGCCUAUAAAGACCCCAGAGGCAGGAGGAUCCUCAGAAUGUUUUGGAAACAGCCAGGAGGCUGGUUAUCUAACCCCCAUGACUGCCCUGAGAGCUAGGUGUAAUUGUCUCUAUCCCCUGGAGGAGAAUCUGGCAGGGCCAGGAUCCGACCCUCCACAGCCAGGUGUCCAGAUCCGACUCUCCUCAGAGCUCCCAUGGGGAGUGGCAGAAAGGGAGAAAAGCACAGGUGUCUGAGUCCAAGCUCUGAUUCUUCCAGGGACUGGUCAUGUGAUCUCAGACCAGCUGCAUCUCCUUGUAGGGCCUCAAUGUCCUUGUCACUCAUGGGCUAGACUUGUCUAUUUCAUCCACUUCGCAGAUGAUGUGCCCAAAAGGAAGGGGAGGAGAAAGUAUGGUGCUGGGAGGUGACCUUGAGCUUCUCUGGCAUCUCAGGCCAAAGUUCCUCCCCAGGCAAGUGUGAAUGUCAGGUGCAGACCCUGUCCCCUGAACCACCCAGAGCAACGACCUGCCUGACCCCCAAGAGCUCACAUCCUGCCUAUGCCUGCCUGGGCCUUGUCCCACUCAGCACCCAGAGCCCAGCCACAGCCACAGCCUCUGUCCUGCACUCUGGUUCUGGGUGUCAGACAUGCCCCUCACCCCAGGGCCCAGCCCAGGACCGGCUCCUUGUGUUCCUGACCAGGUGGAGGGUCCAUGAUUGGCUUUUGUCACCAAGGGUGCCAAAGCGGGCCAGCCCUCACGGGCACCCGGCCAGAUCCCGGGGCCCAGCCAAGUGCAAACAGCACGCUUGGCGCCCUGAUACGGGCGCGUUAGAGCAGGCAGGCUGCCCACUGCCCCCGUCACAACAAACCAUCAUCUCCGCCCCCCUGAGGGGCCCAGGCAGCCGGCACCUCUGCUGGGAGCUGGGGACUAGGGACUGCCAGGGGAGGCCUCCUCCCCCUCUCCCACUGGGAAUGGGUAGUGGGAAUUUCAGAGCCUGGACAUGGAGAUUCCAGAUGCCAGCAGCUGAAAGGGCAGAUACGCAGACAGGCUGCAGGGAGCACGUGGGAAAAUGACAGGGGCAGAGGAGGUGGAUGAAGGCAAGUCACGGAGUUUUUAACAUUAUGGGUGGGGUCAGGCAAAGGGAGAGUGAGAGGCUGCCGAGAAGAAAGCAGGAAGGGCCCAACAGAGAGAGGAGCAGCAAGAAGAACCAAUGAGAGCCGGAACGGUUCAAUAUGGGACAGGGGACCAGCGAUAAUGACCACAGCAACUCCUUCCAGCAAUACCCAGCAAUUAACAUAAACAGCACUUCCGACAGAACUUUCUGGUGCAAUGGAAAUGUUGCAUGCCUGCACUCAUCCAGUAAGAUACUACUGAGCACCUCAAAUACAGCUAGUGCCACCAAGAAACUGAAUUUUUUGCUGGGCAUGGUGGCUCACACCUAUAAUCCCAGCACUUUGGGAGGCCGAGGUGGGCAGAUCACCUGAGGUCAGGAGUUCAAGAUCAGCCUGGCCAACAUGGUAAAACCACAUCUCUACUAAAAAUAAAAUUAGCUGGGCAUGGUGGCGGGCGCCUGUAAUCUCAGCUACUAGGGAGGCUGAGGCAGGAGAAUUGCUUGAACCCAGGAGGCAGAGGUUGCAGUGAGCUGAGAUCACACCACUGCACGCCAGCCUGGGUGACAGAGCAAGGCUACAUCUCAAAAAAGAAAAGAAAAAAAAAAA